RNAcentral lists this long non-coding RNA (716 nucleotides) under Setaria viridis. RNAcentral describes it as "long non-coding RNA (SVIR_LNC008406)". Lineage: Eukaryota; Viridiplantae; Streptophyta; Magnoliopsida; Poales; Poaceae. The record is from RNAcentral.
GGGUAAAGAUCUAUCGGACCUAGCAUAUAUAAGGCAGUAAAGGCAUGUAAGAUCUACCAGCCGAUACGACCUGAUAACUGUGAACGUUUAAACAUGGCAGGGGAGCCAAUGAAGACAGCCUAACCAGAUUUAAGCUGUUUGAUAACUGUGAGCAACUUCGAAGACAAGCAGAAUAUUGGACAAAGUCUAGAAAGUUCUACUUACCAUCUAAGUUAACUCCAUAACUAGCCACACGACCGAAUAUCAGAAUAUAAGACUUAACUUAGAAAGUUCCGAUAGAGAUCGUAAUGACCAGAUGACGGUACUUACAAGCUCGCCUGAGAUCAAAUCGAUGUAGCCCUGCGCGCUAGAAGAAACUCGUCGAGAAACUACAUUACUCCUACUCCUAAGGGUUGGCGGCGGGGCGCCAAAAAGUUGUAUUGAUUGAUUUAGAGAUGUAUGUUACAAUGGCCAAAAGUUGUAUUGAUUGAUUUAGAGAUGUAUGUUACAAUGGUCAGGGGUACAUAUUUAUACCCUAGACUAAUGACUCCCUAGUCAGCUACGAUAAUGACUUUACAAAACUUGCCUAACAAUAAAUAUCUAAACAAAAGAAAAUAUUAAGAUACAUGGACUCUAAUUCCCUUUAUGUAGAAUCCCUCUCGAUGAAAAUUCUGUCUUGCAUUGUCAUCAGGUUCUUAUUUCCCUUUCCUUUCAUACGUGAACUAUUAACACCCAAC